AAGUCGUAACAAGGUUUCCGUAGGUGAACCUGCGGAAGGAUCAUUAACACUAAUGAAAUCCAAAACCUUUUGGAUCAACCCAACCUUAGCGAACCGAUCGUUUUUUUCCUUGCCCCUUUCUAUUAAACCCAAAAAACCUCUGAUGUAAAGUGUCUGAUUCUUUAUUCUUGUGCCCCAUCAUACGAUGCGGUCAGGAAUCAAAAUCUAACGCAAUACAACUCUUAACAACGGAUAUCUUGGUUCUG
RNAcentral lists this unclassified non-coding RNA (245 nucleotides) under fungal sp. RNAcentral describes it as "partial internal transcribed spacer region". The stretch from base 1 to 46 matches the Rfam family "Eukaryotic small subunit ribosomal RNA", at positions 1786 to 1831 of the family's 1831-position model. Lineage: Eukaryota; Fungi. The record is from RNAcentral.